GUGGGGAAUCUUCCGCAAUGGACGAAAGUCUGACGGAGCGACGCCGCGUGAGUGAAGAAGGCCUUCGGGUCGUAAAGCUCUGUCAUCAGGGACGAACGGCCGGUGGAGUGGAAAGCCACCGGAUUGACGGUACCUGAGAAGGAAGCCACGGCUAACUACGUGCCAGCAGCCGCGGUAAUACGUAGGUGGCAAGCGUUGUCCGGAAUUAUUGGGCGUAAAGCGCGCGCAGGUGGGAUCUUAAGUCCAUUUUGAAAGUUCGGAGCUCAACUCCGUGAUGGGAUGGAAACUGGGAUUCUUGAGUACCGGAGAGGAAAGCGGAAUUCCCCGUGUAGCGGUGAAAUGCGUAGAUAUGGGGAGGAACACCAGUGGCGAAGGCGGCUUUCUGGACGGUGUCUGACACUGAGGCGCGAAAGCCAGGGGAGCGAACGGGAUUAGAUACCCCUGUAGUCC
RNAcentral lists this ribosomal RNA (450 nucleotides) under uncultured bacterium. Its description in RNAcentral is "partial 16S ribosomal RNA". It matches the Rfam family "Bacterial small subunit ribosomal RNA", at positions 354 to 796 of the family's 1533-position model. The record is from RNAcentral.